RNAcentral lists this long non-coding RNA (276 nucleotides) under Mytilus galloprovincialis (Mediterranean mussel). The record is from RNAcentral. Lineage: Eukaryota; Metazoa; Mollusca; Bivalvia; Mytilida; Mytilidae.
GCAUUCAUCAUAAUAAUUUUUACUCAACAUGUAAAUUAUUAAAAAAAAAUCCUGUCACACAAAAAGCGUCACACUCCUGACAAAUUUGACAUGUUUUUUUAAUAAAACUUUUGGCUGGUACAAGAUAUCUAAAUGAAAUUUGGCUGCAAGUUAGCUGGUAUUGAACUUGUUGGUUUGACAUUUAAUUUACUUUCCUAAAUAUAAUGGGGGAAACAAUAUGCCCCAAUAUGUUAAAAUCUUCAUUUUUUCUGAUUCCACCCAAAUAACAACCUAUCA